AGGACGAACGCUGGCGGCGUGCUUAACACAUGCAAGUCGAGCGGAAAGGCCCUUCGGGGUACUCGAGCGGCGAACGGGUGAGUAACACGUGAGUAACCUGCCCCUAGCUCUGGGAUAGCUCCGGGAAACCGGGAUUAAUACCAGAUACGACCACUUUAGACAUCUGUCGUGGUGGAAAGGAUUCCGGCUAGGGAUGGGCUCGCGGCCUAUCAGCUUGUUGGUGGGGUAACGCCUACCAAGGCGACGACGGGUAGCCGGCCUGAGAGGGCGACCGGCCACACUGGGACUGAGACACGGCCCAGACACCUACGGGUGGCAGCAGUCGAGAAUUUUUCUCAAUGGGGGAAACCCUGAAGGAGCGACGCCGCGUGGAGGAUGAAGGUCUUCGGAUUGUAAACUCCUGUCAUUUGGGAACAAGGCGUAGGUAUUAACUGUGCCUACGUUGAUAGUACCAGAAGAGGAAGAGACGGCUAACUCUGCGCCAGCAGCCGCGGUAA
RNAcentral lists this ribosomal RNA (497 nucleotides) under uncultured bacterium. Its description in RNAcentral is "SSU rRNA". It matches the Rfam family "Bacterial small subunit ribosomal RNA", at positions 26 to 523 of the family's 1533-position model. The record is from RNAcentral.